CACACACACACGCACACACACACGCACACACACACACACUUGAAGCUGGGAAACUGGCUCCCCAGAUAAUAUAUCCAUUAGGCUAGGCUGCAGGAAAGCUCACCAGCUCUCUAAUAUCUGCCAGGUCUGCCUUAUGCCAACUCUUAUUCCAAUAGAGCAUAAGUAAAAAUGUUGGGUCAUACCCUCUCCUACCCUCAAUCUCCUGUCGCUGCGUUUGAUACCUCGACUGGGUUAUCUGCUACUGCCUGGGUGUCAUGUCACCCCUAGAGGAGGUUCUCUGCUACUGCCUGGGUGUCAUGUCACCCCUAGAGGAGGUUCUCUGCUACUGCCUGGGUGUCAUGUCACCCCUAGAGGAGGUUCUCUGCUACUCCCUGGGUGUCAUGCCACCCCUUAGAGGUUCUCUGCUACUGCCUGGGUGUCAUGCCACCCCUAGAGGAGGUUCUCUGCUACUGCCUGGGUGUCAUUCUACCCUAGAGGAGGUUCUCUGCUUCUGCCUGAGUGUCAUGCCACUCUUAGAGGAGGUUCUCUGCUACUGCCUGGGUGUCAUGCUACCCUAGAUGAAGUUCUCUGCUACUGCCUGGGUGUCAUGCCACCCUAGAUGAAGUUCUCUGCUACUGCCUGGGUGUCAUGCUACCCUAGAUGAAGUUCUCUGCUACUGCCUGGGUGUCAUGCCACCCCUAGAGGAGGUUCUCUGCUUCUGCCUGGGUGUCAUGCCACCCUAGAGGAGGUUCUCUGCUACUGCCUGGGUGUCAUGCUACCCUAGAUGAAGUUCUCUGCUACUGCCUGCGUGUCAUGCCACCCCUAGAGGAGGUUCUCUGCUACUGCUUGCGUGUCACCCUAGAGGAGGUUAUCUGCUACUGCCUGCGUGUCACCCCUAGAGGAGGUGCUCUGCUACUGCCUGCGUGUCACCCCUAGAGGAGGUUUUCUGCUACUGCCUGCGUGUCACCCCGAGAGGAGGUUCUCUGCUACUGCCCGCGUGUCCCCCCUAGAGGAGGGCACCUUGAUUGGUCCUAGACAGGGUUACCUGCCUCGCCUCGCUCCUUACCGUAUGGGCCGAGAACAGCAGUCUGCUGCUCGUACUGGGCGCAGAUGAAAUGAUAAACACCUCAUCUGUCCCCAAGUCCAGUUCCGUGAGACCAUUGGAUGAGAGGUCCACUUCAGCAUGCUCAGACAUAUCACCACC
Long non-coding RNA from Oncorhynchus tshawytscha (Chinook salmon), 1183 nucleotides. NCBI's taxonomy places the organism in Eukaryota, Metazoa, Chordata, Actinopteri, Salmoniformes, Salmonidae. The record is from Ensembl.